AGGUCUCGUUGGUGACAGCGGAGGGAUCAUUAAAGAGUUAUUACAACUCCCAAACCCAUGUGAACCUACCUUUGUUGCCUCGGCAGGUCCGCAGCUUACCCUGUGAGACCCUACCCUGUAGGGACCUUACCCUGUAGUUGCAGGUAAAACCUGCCGGUGGUCUACUAAACUCUGUUUACUAUGUUAUUCUGAAUACUAUAACUAAAUAAGUUAAAACUUUCAACAACGGAUCUCUUGGUUCUGGCAUCGAUGAAGAACGCAGCGAAAUGCGAUAAGUAAUGUGAAUUGCAGAAUUCAGUGAAUCAUCGAAUCUUUGAACGCACAUUGCGCCCAUUAGUAUUCUAGUGGGCAUGCCUGUUCGAGCGUCAUUUCAACCCUCAAGCCCUAGUUGCUUGGUGUUGGGAGCUUAUCCUGUCGGAAGGCGGGACAACUCCUUAAAAUUAUUGGCGGAGUCGCGGUGACCCCAAGCGCAGUAAUUCCUUUUCUCGCUUUAGGUGUUAACGCUGGCCUCUAGCCAUUAAACCUCUCUAUUUUCUCAAAUGGUUGACCUCGGAUCAGGUAGGACUACCCGCUGAACUUAAGCAUAUCAAUAAGCGGAGGA
RNAcentral lists this ribosomal RNA (601 nucleotides) under uncultured Xylariales. RNAcentral describes it as "eukaryotic LSU rRNA". The stretch from base 215 to 368 matches the Rfam family "5.8S ribosomal RNA". The record is from RNAcentral. Lineage: Eukaryota; Fungi; Ascomycota; Sordariomycetes; Xylariales.